Molecule: ribosomal RNA, 265 nt
Filed under: uncultured prokaryote
Description: partial 16S ribosomal RNA
Rfam family: Bacterial small subunit ribosomal RNA
Source: RNAcentral
UACGUAGGGGGCAAGCGUUGUCCGGAAUCACUGGGCGUAAAGCGCAUGUAGGCGGGAUAUUAAGUCAGGUGUGAAAACUAUGGGCUCAACCUGUAGAUUGCAUCUGAAACUGGUAUUCUUGAGUAUUGGAGAGGAAAGUGGAAUUCCUAGUGUAGCGGUGAAAUGCGUAGAUAUUAGGAGGAACACCAGUGGCGAAGGCGACUUUCUGGCCAAAAACUGACGCUGAGAUGCGAAAGCGUGGGGAGCAAACAGGAUUAGAUACCCU